ACUGAGAACUGCCAUGGCCUAUCUCCUAAACAGCUUUCCUUAAAUUGACCAGAUUCAAGAGUGCGCUUUCCAGGAGAGUCUCCUGUGACACAAUGGAAAUCUUUACGUACUAUAUCUCUCUAAAGACAGGAGGUUAGCAAUGUUUUCCUCUGCAAGGCUAUACGGAGCAGCCGACUGACACAGAUGCAGAGACGCAGGACGAAAUACCGGAUGGAGCUCAGUGACUCUCACUGAAGAGCUGAGGGAAGAAGACAGAGGAAGAGGAGCACAAUGGGCUUCACGUGGGUUCAGUAAACCCGUCGCCUGACUGUG
Non-coding RNA from Rattus norvegicus (Norway rat), 312 nucleotides. The record is from RefSeq and is a predicted model, not a curated record. NCBI's taxonomy places the organism in Eukaryota, Metazoa, Chordata, Mammalia, Rodentia, Muridae.